CCUGUUGGAUUUCUGCCUGCUCUAUUUCUAUUACAGGAAGCUAUUCUGUAAUAGAAACAUAGCAGGCAGAAAUCCAACAGC
RNAcentral lists this microRNA precursor (81 nucleotides) under Podarcis lilfordi (Lilford's wall lizard). The record is from RNAcentral. Lineage: Eukaryota; Metazoa; Chordata; Lepidosauria; Squamata; Lacertidae.